GAUGAACGCUGGCGGCGUGCCUAAUACAUGCAAGUCGAGCGAACGGACGAGAAGCUUGCUUCUCUGAUGUUAGCGGCGGACGGGAGAGUAACACGUGGAUAACCUACCUAUAAGACUGGGAUAACUUCGGGAAACCGGAGCUAAUACCGGAUAAUAUUUUGAACCGCAUGGUUCAAAAGUGAAAGACGGUCUUGCUGUCACUUAUAGAUGGAUCCGCGCUGCAUUAGCUAGUUGGUAAGGUAACGGCUUACCAAGGCAACGAUGCAUAGCCGACCUGAGAGGGUGAUCGGCCACACUGGAACGGAGACACGGUCCAGACGCCUACGGGAGGCAGCAGUAGGGAAUCUUCCGCAAUGGGCGAAAGCCUGACGGAGCAACGCCGCGUGAGUGAUGAAGGUCGUCGGAUCGUAAAACUCUGUUAUUAGGGAAGAACAUAUUUGUAAGUAACUGUGCACAUCUUGACGGUACCUAAUCAGAAAGCCACGGCUAACUACGUG
This 497-nucleotide ribosomal RNA is filed under the name uncultured bacterium. RNAcentral describes it as "partial 16S ribosomal RNA". It matches the Rfam family "Bacterial small subunit ribosomal RNA", at positions 28 to 507 of the family's 1533-position model. The record is from RNAcentral.